RNAcentral lists this ribosomal RNA (471 nucleotides) under Triticum aestivum (bread wheat). RNAcentral describes it as "partial small subunit ribosomal RNA". The record is from RNAcentral. Lineage: Eukaryota; Viridiplantae; Streptophyta; Magnoliopsida; Poales; Poaceae.
AUGUUCUGCCUGCUCGUGUCUCCGGAGCCGCUCCGCCGCGCGCAGCUCCUGUCCGACUCGGCGCCGCGGAGCCCAGCAAGCUACAGGGCGGCCGUCGUUUGCCAGUCUACCCCGCCGCUGGCCGUUUCUCGCCACGUCGCAGUGGAUAUCCCCGAUGGUUACGACGACGACGAGGACCGCGACGACUCGGGCGUCUACAAAUUAGAGACGACGACGCAGCACAUAAGCCCCGUUGGUAGGGUGCUCGCGAAGGCGGCGUUGGUUGCGUACACGGCGUUCGCCGCACCCGCCUUUGUGGUGACCGCGGCCACGCGGAGCAGCAACUGGCUCCAGGUGCUGCUGGUUGUGGUGCUGGUGCUGCUCACCUUCCUGUCGCUUUUCAUGGCCACGUUGUACGCCUUGGAAGACGAGGACAGGGAGAGGGAGGAACAAGGGGACCAUGAACUCAGACGUCGGCGCGGAUUCACAUGA